Molecule: long non-coding RNA, 2714 nt
Organism: Amphiprion ocellaris (clown anemonefish)
Lineage: Eukaryota; Metazoa; Chordata; Actinopteri; Pomacentridae
Exons: 3
Source: RefSeq, a predicted model, not a curated record
CAGAGACCAGUGAUUGGUCAGACCAUUGAUAUGUAUAGAAGACAGCGCGCUAGCGUAUCUAGUGUGUGUAUAUCUAUGGUCGGCAUGUCUGGUAGCAUCUCUGGCUGCUGUUGACCUUGUUUUUGGAGUAAAACACGGUGGAAGCUGAAUUAGUGAGGAUGACUCCUGCUCCUGUCAUCUCUAAGCUCCUCACACAUCUUUACCUGCACAUGAGGAAAAUCACUCCUGUAGAAUGCAGAUGUUCAGAGGGAGAUGAUGCCACAUCUGGUCCAGCUGAUGGAAGGUCUUGAAGUUCUCUGACUGGCCUCGACUGAAGAUGGUCGUCUCACUGGAUUUAAGGUUCAGAUGCUCAGUAAUAAACUCCACCAAUGAGCCAACAGGGAAGCUUUAGGUUUAUUAAAUGUUGCUCUGAAGGUAUCACUGUUUUUCUUUGUGAAUGCAAUGUGCUCCAACUGAAACUUGAAUUAGAACUUAGAAGUAAAUCCUUCCAUCUGAAAGGACUUAGUUGCAUUAAUAACCUCAUAACAUUCUAAUUUAUAUUUCAGUCUUGGUUGGAAAUAGAAUCUCUGUAUUGAUUCAGGUAAAAACUGAACUUCACAGCAUGUUAGAGCAAAACAACCAGAUGAAAACUGUGAUGGUGUUGGAUUGUCAGACCGUAAUGUUGCGGCUCAAAGCAGCUUUUCUAGCUCAGUUCAUUCUGAGAUUCAGCUAUGAAUCAACACAGCAGAUGGUGAUCCAUGCUGUGGAAGUGUCACAUCUCCUGAUUUAAUGGAGAUGCUUUGCACUUUUUACACUGUUUAUUCACCAACACUUUAUUUUAUAAAAGUCCCAUCUAGUUUUUUAUGAGGAAUGUGAUGUUUUAAUUUCUCUGUGAAUAACUGCAGUCUAAUGCAACAGCUGGAGUUGUAACAUCUGUCCUGAUAUUGAUCAUGAAGUAUUGAUCAGAAUACUUAUGGUCAGCAGUCAUCCCUGAAGUUUUACAUUAAAAUCUUUACUUGUGUUGUGAACUUUGGUAAGAAGCAGAAAUGUUAGCGUUGCCAUGGAUACAUGAGUGUUAAAUUCUGUCCAUGUUUCCAUUUUGGGAAAUGCAGUCCAGUUCCAGAAUGUGGAGGAAUUUAGUCUCACAAUCACAGACAAUAAAUAUUAUCUGAAAGUCGGGUUAUUGUUGUUUAUCAGCACAAUACAAAAAGAUUAAUGUUAGACAUAUUCCAGUUAAGACCCUAUAAUAUCAUGAUUUAUGUAAAUUUACCUCAAUAAUAUGAAUGUUCAGGUUAAGAUUGUACAGUGAUACUUAUUAUGGAAGUUUAGCUGAUUAAAGUUUAUGACUGCACUAAAAUAUUAUUUAAAUUGACAUCAUUAUUAUAAUAUUUAGGGUCAGACCCUACAUUAUUGAGAUUAAGAAAUCAAAUAUCCUAUAAAGGGCUGCACAGUGGUGUAGUGGUUAGCACUUUCGCCUUGCAGCAAGAAGGUCCCUGGUUCGCGUCCCGGCUUUCCCGGGAUCUUUCUGCAUGGAGUUUGCAUGUUCUCCCUGUGCAUGUGUGGGUUUUCUCCGGGUACUCCGGCUUCCUCCCACAGUCCAAAAAUAUGCUGAGGUUAAUUGAUUAUUCUAAAUUGCCCGUAGGUGUGAAUGUGAGAGUGAUUGUUUGUCUUUGUAUGUAGCCCUGCGACAGACUGGCGACCUGUCUAGGGUGUCCCCUGCCUUCACCUGAGUCAGCUGGGAUAGACUCCAGCCCCCCUCCGCGACCCUAGUGAGGAUUAAGCGGUGUAUAGAUAAUGGAUGGAUGGAUAUUCUAUAAAAUGUAAAUAUACUGAACUCAUUUGGAUAUAUUUAAGUGAGACUACAGUAUUGUAGUAAAUCUAUCUAAAUCAAAAUUUUAAUAAUUUUCAUGCCAAACAUUUACUGGACUGAUUUAAACAUUAAAAGCACUCCUUUCUAAUCCUCUGCUGUACGUUCAAACCUGAGGCCUUAAAUCAAAACACAAGUAUCUGAUUGAAGGAACUUCUGCAGAGUCCUGGUUCCAGAACAUGAUGAUAGAAUUAUAGACAAACUUUAACAAAAGCUGCCUGAGAGUUUACAGGUUUUUAUGUUAGAUUUCUUUAGUAAUUUAAUGAGUUAUCAGCAAAAAUCAAGUGUUCAUUUGAUGAACUUCAUUUCCUAAAACAUCCAGAAUUGGAGCUCAUAUCUUUGGCAGCUGGAAAGUUUCUGCUCCUUCAAAGUAAACAACAUGAAUUGAUUCCUAAAACACUCUCAAUGCUGGAGAGCGUUUGAUGCUGAAGCAGUGACCACUUUUUCUGUUUCUUCUCUGGAGGUGCACAAUGAGGGACGUCUGCAGAGACUGAGAAAGAGUCUCACCACAUCCUGACAUGAGGAAAAAGACUUUAUUGAAGACUACAAUGAGAAAAACUAUCAGACAGCAGACGGCUGCAUUCAAGGUGAGCUCUGAACAUUUGAUCUGGAACAGGAAUUCAAUAACGGCAGCAUGAGCUUCAUUUCAGUCUGUAGCUGCUGAAUUCAUGGAUGAAUCAUCUGGCACUAGAGAGGAAGACCAUCAAACAUCCAUGUCAGCUGAUGGAGGUCCAAGAGUCUCACCAAACAAACAACCUACAGAGUGAAGACCUCCAUUCUGAUUGGACGGCCUCCUAUUCAGCCACAUGUGUGAACAAAUGCCUCUAAGCUGAUUUGUUUUCUAAAAUAAAUCUAGUUUGAGUCCUAA